RNAcentral lists this long non-coding RNA (305 nucleotides) under Homo sapiens (human). RNAcentral's name for it is "HSALNT0394993". Lineage: Eukaryota; Metazoa; Chordata; Mammalia; Primates; Hominidae. The record is from RNAcentral.
CUUUAACAGAGUCAGAAUAAAGUAAAAUGAUGGAGAUUCAAAACUACAAUUUUAUAAUGAAAGAAUACUUCGCAGAGUCAAGUCAAUCCAAGAGAGGAUGAGGAAUUUAUUUUCCAUGAUUUCCUAAAUUUACAUAACUCAAACUUCCAGCUUUUGAAUCUGAGAGGCCUUCCAUUUAGCAUCUCUCCAAUCCUGUCUGCUCCUCUUUCGCCUUCUGCCAUGACUAUAAGCAUCCUGAGGCCUCCCCAGAAUCUGAGCAGACGUCGACACCAUGUUCAAUCGUGUCCUCUACAACCUGCAGAACU